Molecule: ribosomal RNA, 464 nt
Filed under: uncultured bacterium
Lineage: Bacteria
Description: bacterial SSU rRNA
Rfam family: Bacterial small subunit ribosomal RNA
Source: RNAcentral
GAUGAACGCUAGCGGCAGGCCUAAUACAUGCAAGACGAACGGUAAGUUUGAUAGCAAUAUUGAACCUAGAGUGUCGUAAGGGUGCGUAACACGUAUGCAAUCUACCCUCAACAGGAGGAUAGCUCCCCGAAAGGGGAAUUAACACUCCAUAAGAUCACAGGAUGGCAUCAUUCAGUGAUUAAAACUCCGGUGGUUGAGGAUGAGCAUGCGCAUGAUUAGUUAGUUGGCGGGGUAAUGGCCCACCAAGACGAUGAUCAUUAGGGGAACUGAGAGGUUGAUCCCCCACACUGGCACUGAGAUACGGGCCAGACUCCUACGGGAGGCAGCAGUAGGGAAUAUUGGACAAUGGGUGCGAGCCUGAUCUAGCCAUGCCGCGUGGACGAUGAAGGCCUUAGGGUUGUAAAGUCCUUUCAGCUGGGAAGAUAAUGACGGUACCAGCAGAAGAAGCCCCGGCUAACUCCGUG